AACACGUGAGUAACCUGCCCUUGACUCUGGGAUAAGCCUGGGAAACUGGGUCUAAUACCGGAUAUGACCCCUCAUCGCAUGGUGGGGGGUGGAAAGCUUUUGUGGUUUUGGAUGGACUCGCGGCCUAUCAGCUUGUUGGUGGGGUAAUGGCCUACCAAGGCGACGACGGGUAGCCGGCCUGAGAGGGUGACCGGCCACACUGGGACUGAGACACGGCCCAGACUCCUACGGGAGGCAGCAGUGGGGAAUAUUGCACAAUGGGCGCAAGCCUGAUGCAGCGACGCCGCGUGAGGGAUGACGGCCUUCGGGUUGUAAACCUCUUUCAGUAGGGAAGAAGCGUAAGUGACGGUACCUGCAGAAGAAGCGCCGGCUAACUACGUGCCAGCAGCCGCGGUAAUACGUAGGGCGCAAGCGUUAUCCGGAAUUAUUGGGCGUAAAGAGCUCGUAGGCGGUUUGUCGUGUCUGCUGUGAAAGACCGGGGCUCAACUCCGGUUCUGCAGUGGGUACGGGCAGACUAGAGUGCAGUAGGGGAGACUGGAAUUCCUGGUGUAGCGGUGAAAUGCGCAGAUAUCAGGAGGAACACCGAUGGCGAAGGCAGGUCUCUGGGCUGUAACUGACGCUGAGGAGCGAAAGCAUGGGGAGCGAACAGGAUUAGAUACCCUGGUAGUCCAUGCCGUAAACGUUGGGCACUAGGUGUGGGGGACAUUCCACGUUUUCCGCGCCGUAGCUAACGCAUUAAGUGCCCCGCCUGGGGAGUACGGCCGCAAGGCUAAAACUCAAAGGAAUUGACGGGGGCCCGCACAAGCGGCGGAGCAUGCGGAUUAAUUCGAUGCAACGCGAAGAACCUUACCAAGGCUUGACAUGAACCGGAAAGACCUGGAAACAGGUGCCCCGCUUGCGGUCGGUUUACAGGUGGUGCAUGGUUGUCGUCAGCUCGUGUCGUGAGAUGUUGGGUUAAGUCCCGCAACGAGCGCAACCCUCGUUCUAUGUUGCCAGCGGUUCGGCCGGGGACUCAUAGGAGACUGCCGGGGUCAACUCGGAGGAAGGUGGGGACGACGUCAAAUCAUCAUGCCCCUUAUGUCUUGGGCUUCACGCAUGCUACAAUGGCCGGUACAAAGGGUUGCGAUACUGUGAGGUNNNGCUAAUCCCAAAAAGCCGGUCUCAGUUCGGAUUGGGGUCUGCAACUCGACCCCAUGAAGUCGGAGUCGCUAGUAAUCGCAGAUCAGCAACGCUGCGGUGAAUACGUUCCCGGGCCUUGUCACACCGCCCGUCAAGUCACGAAAG
RNAcentral lists this ribosomal RNA (1284 nucleotides) under uncultured bacterium. RNAcentral's name for it is "bacterial SSU rRNA". It matches the Rfam family "Bacterial small subunit ribosomal RNA", at positions 112 to 1410 of the family's 1533-position model. The record is from RNAcentral.